UCCUUAGUGGUGCAGUCGUCCAGGCCGGU
This 29-nucleotide small RNA is filed under the name Bombyx mori (domestic silkworm). Its description in RNAcentral is "ovarian small RNA-1457". The record is from RNAcentral. Lineage: Eukaryota; Metazoa; Arthropoda; Insecta; Lepidoptera; Bombycidae.